This 393-nucleotide ribosomal RNA is filed under the name uncultured bacterium. RNAcentral describes it as "partial 16S ribosomal RNA". It matches the Rfam family "Bacterial small subunit ribosomal RNA", at positions 523 to 918 of the family's 1533-position model. The record is from RNAcentral.
AUACGUAGGGGGCGAGCGUUAUCCGGAUUCAUUGGGCGUAAAGCGCGCGUAGGCGGCCUGCUAGGUCGGGACUCAAAUCCGGGGGCUCAACCCCCGCCCGGUCCCGAUACCGACAGGCUUGAGUCUGGUAGGGGAAGGCGGAAUUCCAAGUGUAGAGGUGGAAUGCGCAGAUAUUUGGAAGAACACCGGUGGCGAAGGCGGCCUUCUGGGCCACGACUGACGCUGAGGCGCGAAAGCUAGGGGAGCGAACAGGAUUAGAUACCCUGGUAGUCCUAGCCGUAAACGAUGGACACUAGGUGUGGGGGGAUGUGCCCUCCGUGCCGCAGCCAACGCAUUAAGUGUCCCGCCUGGGGAGUACGGCCGCAAGGCUAAAACUCAAAUGAAUUGACGGGG